This 912-nucleotide ribosomal RNA is filed under the name Scolecobasidium tshawytschae. Its description in RNAcentral is "partial large subunit ribosomal RNA". It matches the Rfam family "Eukaryotic large subunit ribosomal RNA", at positions 35 to 964 of the family's 3401-position model. The record is from RNAcentral. Lineage: Eukaryota; Fungi; Ascomycota; Dothideomycetes; Venturiales; Sympoventuriaceae.
UAAGCAUAUCAAUAAGCGGAGGAAAAGAAACCAACCGGGAUUGCCCCAGUAACGGCGAGUGAAGCGGCAACAGCUCAAAUUUGAAAUCUGGGGUCCUUUGGGCCUCCGAGUUGUAGUUUGCAGAGGGAGCCUCGGAGGGCGUGCCGGCCCAAGUGCCUUGGAACAGGAUACCGCAGAGGGUGAGAGUCCCGUAUCCGGCCGGUGGCGCGCUCCGUGUGAGGCCUCUUCGACGAGUCGAGUUGUUUGGGAAUGCAGCUCCAAGCGGGUGGUAAAUUCCAUCUAAAGCUAAAUACUGGCCAGAGACCGAUAGCGAACAAGUAGAGUGAUCGAAAGAUGAAAAGCACUUUGAAAAGAGAGUCAAACAGUACGUGAAAUUGUUGAAAGGGAAGCGCAUGGGGGCAGACUUGGCCGCGGGGUUCAGGGUGCGUUCUCGCGCCUGCACUUCCCCGCGGACAGGCCAGCAUCGGUUCUGGGGGCCGGACAAAGGGGCCGGGAAGGUAGCCGCCUUCGGGCGGUGUUAUAGCCCGGCGCGCAAUGCGGCCACCUGGGACCGAGGACCGCGCUUCGGCAAGGAUGCUGGCGUAAUGGCCUCAUGCGGCCCGUCUUGAAACACGGACCAAGGAGUCUAACAUCUAUGCGAGUGUUUGGGUGGCAAGCCCGGGCGCGCAAUGAAAGUGAACGGAGGUGGGAGCUGUCGUAGGCGCACCAUCGACCGAUCCGGACGUUUUCCGAAGGAUUUGAGUAGGAGCAUAGCUGUUGGGACCCGAAAGAUGGUGAACUAUGCGUGAAUAGGGUGAAGCCAGAGGAAACUCUGGUGGAGGCUCGCAGCGGUUCUGACGUGCAAAUCGAUCGUCAAAUUUGCGUAUAGGGGCGAAAGACUAAUCGAACCAUCUAGUAGCUGGUUCCUGCCGA